UCUGCCUUGUAGUGGGGGAUAACUUGCCGAAAGGUAAGCUAAUACCGCAUACGCCCUAAGGGGGAAAGCAGGGGACUCUUCGGAGCCUUGCGCUAUUAGAUGAGCCUAGGUCGGAUUAGUUAGUUGGUGGGGUAAUGGCUCACCAAGACCGCGAUCCGUAACUGGUCUGAGAGGAUGAUCAGUCACACUGGAACUGGGACACGGUCCAGACUCCUACGGGAGGCAGCAGUGGGGAAUAUUGGACAAUGGGGGGAACCCUGAUCCAGCCAUGCCGCGUGUGUGAAGAAGGCCUUCGGGUUGUAAAGCACUUUAAUUUGGGAGGAAGGGCUUACGGUUAAUAACCGCUAAGUUUUGACGUUACCAAAAGAAUAAGCACCGGCUAACUUCGUGCCAGCAGCCGCGGUAAUACGAAGGGUGCGAGCGUUAAUCGGAAUUACUGGGCGUAAAGCGCGCGUAGGUGGUUCAUUAAGUUAGGAGUGAAAGCCCCGGGCUCAACCUGGGAAUUGCUUCUAAAACUGGUGGGCUAGAGUACAGUAAAGGGUGGUGGAAUUUCCUGUGUAGCGGUGAAAUGCGUAAAUAUAGGAAGGAACAUCAGUGGCGAAGGCGACCACCUGGACUGAUACUGGCACUGAGGUGCGAAAGCGUGGGGAGCAAACAGGAUUAAAUACCCUGGUAUCCACGCCGUUAACGAUGUCAACUA
RNAcentral lists this ribosomal RNA (700 nucleotides) under uncultured bacterium. Its description in RNAcentral is "bacterial SSU rRNA". It matches the Rfam family "Bacterial small subunit ribosomal RNA", at positions 125 to 818 of the family's 1533-position model. The record is from RNAcentral.